UUUGCGACGCGGAGGGACAUUGCUGGAACGCGCCCCAGGCGCACCCAGAAACCCUUUGUGAACUCAUACCUUACUGUUGCCUCGGCGCUAGCUGGUCCUCCGGGGCCCCUCUCCGGAGGAGCAGGCACGCCGGCGGCCAAGUUAACUCUUGUUUUUACACUGAAACUCUGAGAAAUAAAACAUAAAUGAAUCAAAACUUUCAACAACGGAUCUCUUGGUUCUGGCAUCGAUGAAGAACGCAGCGAAAUGCGAUAAGUAAUGUGAAUUGCAGAAUUCAGUGAAUCAUCGAAUCUUUGAACGCACAUUGCGCCCUCUGGUAUUCCGGAGGGCAUGCCUGUUCGAGCGUCAUUUCAACCCUCAAGCCUGGCUUGGUGAUGGGGCACUGCUUCUUACCCAGGAAGCAGGCCCUGAAAUUCAGUGGCGAGCUCGCCAGGACCCCGAGCGCAGUAGUUAAACCCUCGCUCUGGAAGGCCCUGGCGGUGCCCUGCCGUUAAACCCCCAACUUUUGAAAAUUUGACCUCGGAUCAGGUAGGAAUACCCGCUGAACUUAAGCUAUA
This 557-nucleotide ribosomal RNA is filed under the name Diaporthe sp. S42. RNAcentral's name for it is "eukaryotic LSU rRNA". The stretch from base 195 to 348 matches the Rfam family "5.8S ribosomal RNA". Lineage: Eukaryota; Fungi; Ascomycota; Sordariomycetes; Diaporthales; Diaporthaceae. The record is from RNAcentral.